GGGAAUCUGCCCCUUGGUUCGGAAUAACAGUUAGAAAUGACUGCUAAUACCGGAUGACGACGUAAGUCCAAAGAUUUAUCGCCGAGGGAUGAGCCCGCGUAGGAUUAGCUAGUUGGUGUGGUAAGAGCGCACCAAGGCGACGAUCCUUAGCUGGUCUGAGAGGAUGAUCAGCCACACUGGGACUGAGACACGGCCCAGACUCCUACGGGAGGCAGCAGUGGGGAAUAUUGGACAAUGGGCGAAAGCCUGAUCCAGCAAUGCCGCGUGAGUGAUGAAGGCCUUAGGGUUGUAAAGCUCUUUUACCCGGGAUGAUAAUGACAGUACCGGGAGAAUAAGCUCCGGCUAACUCCGUGCCAGCAGCCGCGGUAAUACGGAGGGAGCUAGCGUUAUUCGGAAUUACUGGGCGUAAAGCGCACGUAGGCGGCUUUGUAAGUUAGAGGUGAAAGCCCGGAGCUCAACUCCAGAAUUGCCUUUAAGACUGCAUCGCUCGAAUCCAGGAGAGGUGAGUGGAAUUCCGAGU
Molecule: ribosomal RNA, 520 nt
Filed under: uncultured bacterium
Lineage: Bacteria
Description: bacterial SSU rRNA
Rfam family: Bacterial small subunit ribosomal RNA
Source: RNAcentral